This 580-nucleotide ribosomal RNA is filed under the name uncultured Actinomycetes bacterium. RNAcentral describes it as "bacterial SSU rRNA". It matches the Rfam family "Bacterial small subunit ribosomal RNA", at positions 782 to 1361 of the family's 1533-position model. Lineage: Bacteria; Bacillati; Actinomycetota; Actinomycetes. The record is from RNAcentral.
AUACCCUGGUAGUCCACGCCGUAAACGUUGGGCGCUAGGUGUGGGGGUCCUUCCACGACCUCCGUGCCGCAGCUAACGCAUUAAGCGCCCCGCCUGGGGAGUACGGCCGCAAGGCUAAAACUCAAAGGAAUUGACGGGGGCCCGCACAAGCGGCGGAGCAUGCGGAUUAAUUCGAUGCAACGCGAAGAACCUUACCAAGGCUUGACAUGCACGGGUAAGUUCCAGAGAUGGUUCCCCCGCAAGGUCCGUGCACAGGUGGUGCAUGGUUGUCGUCAGCUCGUGUCGUGAGAUGUUGGGUUAAGUCCCGCAACGAGCGCAACCCUUGUCUUAUGUUGCCAGCGGGUUAUGCCGGGGACUCAUGAGAGACUGCCGGGGUCAACUCGGAGGAAGGUGGGGAUGACGUCAAAUCAUCAUGCCCCUUAUGUCUUGGGCUUCACGCAUGCUACAAUGGCCGGUACAAAGGGCUGCGAAACCGUGAGGUGGAGCGAAUCCCAAAAAGCCGGUCUCAGUUCGGAUUGGGGUCUGCAACUCGACCCCAUGAAGUCGGAGUCGCUAGUAAUCGCAGAUCAGCAACGCUGCG